CAUGGCUUGACAUAUACCGGAAAGCAUUAGAGAUAGUGCCCCCCUUGUGGUCGGUAUACAGGUGGUGCAUGGCUGUCGUCAGCUCGUGUCGUGAGAUGUUGGGUUAAGUCCCGCAACGAGCGCAACCCUUGUCCUGUGUUGCCAGCAUGCCCUUCGGGGUGAUGGGGACUCACAGGAGACCGCCGGGGUCAACUCGGAGGAAGGUGGGGACGACGUCAAGUCAUCAUGCCCCUUAUGUCUUGGGCUGCACACGUGCUACAAUGGCCGGUACAAAGAGCCGCGAUGCCGCGAGGCGGAGCGAAUCUCAAAAAGCCGGUCUCAGUUCGGAUUGGGGUCUGCAACUCGACCCCAUGAAGUCGGAGUUGCUAGUAAUCGCAGAUCAGCAUUGCUGCGGUGAAUA
This 400-nucleotide ribosomal RNA is filed under the name uncultured Actinomycetes bacterium. Its description in RNAcentral is "bacterial SSU rRNA". It matches the Rfam family "Bacterial small subunit ribosomal RNA", at positions 975 to 1368 of the family's 1533-position model. Lineage: Bacteria; Bacillati; Actinomycetota; Actinomycetes. The record is from RNAcentral.